Molecule: RNA transcript, 787 nt
Organism: Papaver somniferum (opium poppy)
Lineage: Eukaryota; Viridiplantae; Streptophyta; Magnoliopsida; Ranunculales; Papaveraceae
Exons: 3
Source: RefSeq, a predicted model, not a curated record
CGGUUUUCUAAAACUGACGUCGUAAACGUACACCCCAGUUUUCGCAAAAGAGGGAACACACCAGAGUGUUGAGAAAAUCAAAUUUCACUGAUUAGGGUUUCAUCUCGUCCCCUUUGUGAAUCAGAUUGGAAGAUGUCUUCCUCAUCUUUGAUAAUUGAAGUUAAGGAUCCGAAAUUGUCGCCAUCAUCGUCAUCAGAAAAUAGCAAAAUUCUCAAGGUCUGAAGAUGUAGCACUAAUCAAUGCUUAUGUAUCGAUUACAUGUGAUCCAGUUAUAGGGAAAUAUCAACAAUGUAAAGAGUUUUGGUCGCAGAUUAAAACCGAGUACAAAGCAACAUCGAGGAGUGACCCUGUCAGAACCACAAAGUCAUUGCAGACAAGAGUUAGCACUUUGAAAAGGGAAAUUAAGAGAUAUGUUUCUCACAUUAGAGGUUGUUUUAGGAACAUGCCUAGUGGAUUCACACUUGAAACCGCAUACUCCAUAUGUCAAUUGGAUUACGAGGAGUACCCGAAAUAUGGAAAUACAUGGAGACAUGACGAUGUAUUCCAAAUUUUGAAAAACUACACUUUGAGGAAUUCAAUCCAGAGAUUUAUGAUCGUGAAACAAUAACACAACCAAGCCAAUUAAUUAAUGAUGAUGAUGAUGAGAAUGUUAUUAUGUCUAGAUAUCCACAAUCUACCCCUGGUGAAUCUUCGGACGGGUCACGAAGAAAAAAAGUUUUAUGACGAUAACUAUAGGAGGGGUCCAAGCAGAGACAAGUCUAAACGAAAUAUACUUGAGGCCAUAACG